GCCGGUGUAGCUCAGACGGUAGAGCAGCGCAUUCGUAAUGCGAAGGUCGAGGGUUCGAUUCCUUUCACCGGCACCA
This 76-nucleotide transfer RNA is filed under the name Cupriavidus sp. RNAcentral describes it as "tRNA-Thr". It matches the Rfam family "tRNA". Rfam says of the family: Transfer RNA (tRNA) molecules are approximately 80 nucleotides in length. RNAcentral also lists the same sequence under 3 other names. Lineage: Bacteria; Pseudomonadati; Pseudomonadota; Betaproteobacteria; Burkholderiales; Burkholderiaceae. The record is from RNAcentral.